GAUGAACGCUGGCGGCGUGCCUAAUACAUGCAAGUCGAGCGAACGGACGAGAAGCUUGCUUCUCUGAUGUUAGCGGCGGACGGGUGAGUAACACGUGGAUAACCUACUUAUAAGACUGGGAUAACUUCGGGAAACCGGAGCUAAUACCGGAUAAUAUUUUGAACCGCAUUGUUCAAUAGUGAAAGACGGUCUUGCUGUCACUUAUAGAUGGAUCCGCGCUGCAUUAGCUAGUUGGUAAGGUAACGGCUUACCAAGGCAACGAUGCAUAGCCGACCUGAGAGGGUGAUCGGCCACACGGGAACUGAGACACGGUCCGGACUCCUACGGGAGGCAGCAGUAGGGAAUCUUCCGCAAUGGGCGAAAGCCUGACGGAGCAACGCCGCGUGAGUGAUGAAGGUCUUCGGAUCGUAAAACUCUGUUAUUAGGGAAGAACAGAUGUGUAAGUAAAUGUGCACAUCUUGACGGUACCUAAUCAGAAAGCCACGGCUAACUACGUG
This 497-nucleotide ribosomal RNA is filed under the name uncultured bacterium. RNAcentral's name for it is "partial 16S ribosomal RNA". It matches the Rfam family "Bacterial small subunit ribosomal RNA", at positions 28 to 507 of the family's 1533-position model. The record is from RNAcentral.